RNAcentral lists this long non-coding RNA (251 nucleotides) under Gossypium barbadense (sea-island cotton). RNAcentral's name for it is "long non-coding RNA (GBAR_LNC005340)". Lineage: Eukaryota; Viridiplantae; Streptophyta; Magnoliopsida; Malvales; Malvaceae. The record is from RNAcentral.
AAGCAUAACACAUUUGUAUGUAUGCAUGAAUAAUUAGGGUUACAAACCAAUAAUCAAUAUGAGCCACCUCUCAUGGCCACAUACAACAUAAUCAUAAUACUUUCAUAAGCCAACACAUUUGGCUAUUCAAUAUAACACAUAACAAAAUAGCCAAGUCCCUAUACAUGCCAUAUUCAAAAUGUUGAGACUAACAAUACCCAAAAUAUCCAAUUGAUAGUGUGAGUGAAAACUUUGACGUCCUCCAAUCUUUG